Molecule: small nuclear RNA, 107 nt
Organism: Otolemur garnettii (small-eared galago)
Lineage: Eukaryota; Metazoa; Chordata; Mammalia; Primates; Galagidae
Source: Ensembl
GUGCUUGCUUCGGCAGCACAUGUACUAAAAUUGGAACGAUACAAAGAAGAUUAGCAUGGCCCCUGCACAAGGAUGACAUGCAAAUUUGUGAAGCAUUCCAUAUUUUU